AGUGAACGCUGGCGGUAGGCCUAACACAUGCAAGUCGAACGGCAGCACAGUAAGAGCUUGCUCUUACGGGUGGCGAGUGGCGGACGGGUGAGGAAUACAUCGGAAUCUACUUUUUCGUGGGGGAUAACGUAGGGAAACUUACGCUAAUACCGCAUACGCCCUACGGUUGAAAGCAGGGGAUCUUCGGACCUUGCGCGAUUGAAUGAGCCGCUGUCGGAUUAGCUAGUUGGCGGGGUAAAGGCCCACCAAGGCGACGAUCCGUAGCUGGUCUGAGAGGAUGAUCGGCCACAUUGGAACUGAGACACGGUCCAGACGCCUACGGGAGGCAGCAGUGGGGAAUAUUGGACAAUGGGCGCAAGCCUGAUCCAGCCAUACCGCGUGGGUGAAGAAGGCCUUCGGGUUGUAAAGCCCUUUUGUUGGGAAAGAAAAGCAGCAGGUUAAUACCCCGCUGUUCUGACGGUACCCAAAGAAUAAGCACCGGCUAACUUCGUG
RNAcentral lists this ribosomal RNA (492 nucleotides) under uncultured bacterium. RNAcentral describes it as "partial 16S ribosomal RNA". It matches the Rfam family "Bacterial small subunit ribosomal RNA", at positions 29 to 507 of the family's 1533-position model. The record is from RNAcentral.